CAGCCGCCACGGUAAUACGUAGGGUGCGAGCGUUAAUCGGAAUUACUGGGCGUAAAGCGUGCGCAGGCGGUUCGUUAAGACAGAUGUGAAAUCCCCGGGCUUAACCUGGGAACUGCAUUUGUGACUGGCGAGCUAGAGUAUGGCAGAGGGGGGUAGAAUUCCACGUGUAGCAGUGAAAUGCGUAGAGAUGUGGAGGAAUACCGAUGGCGAAGGCAGCCCCCUGGGCCAAUACUGACGCUCAUGCACGAAAGCGUGGGGAGCAAACAGGAUUAGAGACCCCUGUAGUCCCUGUCUCUUAUAC
This 301-nucleotide ribosomal RNA is filed under the name uncultured bacterium. RNAcentral's name for it is "partial 16S ribosomal RNA". It matches the Rfam family "Bacterial small subunit ribosomal RNA", at positions 509 to 807 of the family's 1533-position model. The record is from RNAcentral.